CUAACACAUGCAAGUCGAACGAAGUAGCAAUACUUAGUGGCAGACGGGUGAGUAACAUGUAGGUAUCUGCCCUUUGGCCUGGAAUAACACGAGGAAACUUGUGCUAAUACCGGAUAAGUCUUUACGGAGAAAGCUUUAUGCACCAUUGGAUGAGCCUGCACUUGAUUAGUUUGUUGGUAGGGUAAUGGCCUACCAAGACUGUGAUCAAUAGCUGAUUUGAGAGGAUGAUCAGCCACAUUGGGACUGAGACACGGCCCAAACUCCUACGGGAGGCAGCAGUGGGGAAUCUUGCACAAUGGAGGAAACUCUGAUGCAGCGAUGCCGCGUGAGUGAAGAAGGCCCUUGGGUUGUAAAGCUCUUUCGUCGGGGAAGAAAAUGACUGUACCCGAAUAAGAAGGUCCGGCUA
RNAcentral lists this ribosomal RNA (406 nucleotides) under uncultured bacterium. RNAcentral's name for it is "bacterial SSU rRNA". It matches the Rfam family "Bacterial small subunit ribosomal RNA", at positions 48 to 499 of the family's 1533-position model. The record is from RNAcentral.